This 674-nucleotide ribosomal RNA is filed under the name Erysipelotrichaceae bacterium HGA0202. Its description in RNAcentral is "bacterial SSU rRNA". It matches the Rfam family "Bacterial small subunit ribosomal RNA", at positions 87 to 748 of the family's 1533-position model. The record is from RNAcentral. Lineage: Bacteria; Bacillati; Bacillota; Erysipelotrichia; Erysipelotrichales; Erysipelotrichaceae.
GAGACUUAGUGGCGAACGGGUGAGUAACACGUAGGUAACCUGCCCAUGUGUCCGGGAUAACUGCUGGAAACGGUAGCUAAAACCGGAUAGGUAUACAGAGCGCAUGCUCAGUAUAUUAAAGCGCCCAUCAAGGCGUGAACAUGGAUGGACCUGCGGCGCAUUAGCUAGUUGGUGAGGUAACGGCCCACCAAGGCGAUGAUGCGUAGCCGGCCUGAGAGGGUAAACGGCCACAUUGGGACUGAGACACGGCCCAAACUCCUACGGGAGGCAGCAGUAGGGAAUUUUCGUCAAUGGGGGAAACCCUGAACGAGCAAUGCCGCGUGAGUGAAGAAGGUCUUCGGAUCGUAAAGCUCUGUUGUAAGUGAAGAACGGCUCAUAGAGGAAAUGCUAUGGGAGUGACGGUAGCUUACCAGAAAGCCACGGCUAACUACGUGCCAGCAGCCGCGGUAAUACGUAGGUGGCAAGCGUUAUCCGGAAUCAUUGGGCGUAAAGGGUGCGUAGGUGGCGUACUAAGUCUGUAGUAAAAGGCAAUGGCUCAACCAUUGUAAGCUAUGGAAACUGGUAUGCUGGAGUGCAGAAGAGGGCGAUGGAAUUCCAUGUGUAGCGGUAAAAUGCGUAGAUAUAUGGAGGAACACCAGUGGCGAAGGCGGUCGCCUGGUCUGUAACUGACACUG